AACGAACGCUGGCGGCAGGCCUAACACAUGCAAGUCGAGCGCCCUUUCGGGGUGGCGGCGGCCGGGUGAGUAGCGCGUGGGAAUAUGGUCUUCUCUACGGAAUAGCCUCGGGAAACUGAGAGUAAUACCGUAUACGCCCUGUGGGGGAAAGAUUUAUCGGGGAAGGAUUAGCCCGCGUUGGAUUAGGUAGUUGGUGGGGUAAUGGCCUACUAAGCCGACGAUCCAUAGCUGGUUUGAGAGGAUGAUCAGCCACACUGGGACUGAGACACGGCCCAGACUCCUACGGGAGGCAGCAGGGGGGAAUCUUAGACAAUGGGGGCAACCCUGAUCUAGCCAUGCCGCGUGAGUGAGGAAGGCCUGAGGGUUGUAAAGCUCUUUCAGCUGGGAAGAUAAUGACGGUACCAGCAGAAGAAGCCCCGGCUAACUCCGUG
RNAcentral lists this ribosomal RNA (431 nucleotides) under uncultured bacterium. RNAcentral describes it as "partial 16S ribosomal RNA". It matches the Rfam family "Bacterial small subunit ribosomal RNA", at positions 29 to 507 of the family's 1533-position model. The record is from RNAcentral.